AGUGAACGCUGGCGGUAGGCCUAACACAUGCAAGUCGAACGGUAGCACAGUAAGAGCUUGCUCAUACGGGUGGCGAGUGGCGGACGGGUGAGGAAUAAGUCGGAUUCUACUUUUUCGUGGGGGGUAACGUAGGGAAACUUCCGCUAAUACCGCCUUCGACCUACGUGUGAAAUCAGGCGAUCUUCGGACUUUUCGCGACUUAAUGCGCCGAUGUCGGAUUACCUCGUUGGCGGGGCAAAUGCUCACCAAGGCGACGAUCUGUAGCUGGUCUGAGAGGAUGAUCCGACACACUGUAACUGAGACACAGUACAGACACCUGCAGGAGGCAGCAGUGAGGAAUAUUAGGGUAAGGGCGCAAGUCUGAUCCAGCCAUCCCGCGUGAGUCAAGUAGGCCUUCGGGUUGUAAAGCCCUUUUGGUGGGAAAGAAGAGCAGCAGGUUAAUACCCCGCUGUUCUGACGGUACCCAAAGAAUAAGCCCCUGCUAACUUCGUG
Molecule: ribosomal RNA, 492 nt
Filed under: uncultured bacterium
Lineage: Bacteria
Description: partial 16S ribosomal RNA
Rfam family: Bacterial small subunit ribosomal RNA
Source: RNAcentral